RNAcentral lists this ribosomal RNA (208 nucleotides) under Chaetoceros curvisetus. RNAcentral describes it as "partial Bacterial small subunit ribosomal RNA". It matches the Rfam family "Bacterial small subunit ribosomal RNA", at positions 88 to 299 of the family's 1533-position model. Lineage: Eukaryota; Bacillariophyta; Thalassiosirophyceae; Chaetocerotales; Chaetocerotaceae. The record is from RNAcentral.
UGCUCGAGUGGCGAACGGGUGAGUAACACGUGGGUGAUCUGCCCUGCACUUCGGGAUAAGCUUGGGAAACUGGGUCUAAUACCGGAUAGGACUGCACUUUAGUGUGUGUGGUGGAAAGUUUUUUCGGUGUAGGAUGAGCUCGCGGCCUAUCAGCUUGUUGGUGGGGUAAUGGCCUACCAAGGCUUUGACGGGUAGCCGGCCUGAGAGG